AUUGAACGCUGGCGGCAGGCCUAACGCAUGCAAGUCGAGCGGAUGAGAGGAGCUUGCUCCUCGAUUCAGCGGCGGACGGGUGAGUAAUGCCUAGGAAUCUGCCUAGUAGUGGGGGACAACGUUUCGAAAGGAACGCUAAUACCGCAUACGUCCUACGGGAGAAAGUGGGGGAUCUUCGGACCUCACGCUAUUAGAUGAGACUAGGUCGGAUUAGCUAGUUGGUAGGGUAACGGCCUACCAAGGCGACGAUCCGUAACUGGUGUGAGAGGAUGAUCAGUAACACUGGAACUGAGACACGGUCCAGACUCCUACGGGAGGCAGCAGUGGGGAAUAUUGGACAAUGGGCGAAAGCCUGAUCCAGCCAUGCCGCGUGUGUGAAGAAGGCCCUCGGGUCGUAAAGCACUUUAAGUUGGGAGGAAGGGCUUACAGCGAAUACCUGUGAGUUUUGACGUUACCGACAGAAUAAGCACCGGCUAACUUCGUGCCAGCAGCCGCCGUAA
This 500-nucleotide ribosomal RNA is filed under the name uncultured bacterium. RNAcentral describes it as "partial 16S ribosomal RNA". It matches the Rfam family "Bacterial small subunit ribosomal RNA", at positions 30 to 523 of the family's 1533-position model. The record is from RNAcentral.